Molecule: small nuclear RNA, 270 nt
Filed under: Chinchilla lanigera (long-tailed chinchilla)
Lineage: Eukaryota; Metazoa; Chordata; Mammalia; Rodentia; Chinchillidae
Description: 7SK RNA (ENSCLAG00000021844.1)
Rfam family: 7SK RNA
About the family: 7SK was discovered as an abundant small nuclear RNA in the mid-70s but a possible function has only recently been suggested.
Source: RNAcentral
GUGAGGGUGAGUUGGCCGUGACAUCUCUUACCCUUGGAUUGCCAGGGUUGAUAUUUCUGAUCUGGCUGGCUAACUGAGUGUUUCCUUCCUCCCUCACCACUCCUUUCUGAAAUUGUGCACUCAGUUCAAGAGGACAACCUUUCCUCAUAAAGGAGGAACUUUCUUUGACCAAGGGUAUAGAAGAUUAUACUAGAAUCGCCAAACAAGUACUCAACAAAACCCUCCAAGUUAACCCAUAAAAUUAAACAUCAUAUAAGUCAGUUUUCCCUU